Mustela erminea (ermine) is the source of this 2998-nucleotide long non-coding RNA. RefSeq lists it as uncharacterized. The transcript has 3 exons. NCBI's taxonomy places the organism in Eukaryota, Metazoa, Chordata, Mammalia, Carnivora, Mustelidae. The record is from RefSeq and is a predicted model, not a curated record.
AAAGAAAACUGUGAUCUGAUUUAACAAACAAGUCAUUCAUAGUAUUGACAAAUGAGUGAAUUUCCAAUAGAUGUCUUCAUUGUUUUACUUCUUCUUACUCAGAAACAAAAUAUUAACCUUCAUGUCAGAACUAUACUCAGAGAGCCAAUAAUUACAUAUUAGUUAAUUAUUUAUUAAAUUUAUUUAUUUGCUUAUUAUUUGAUUAAACAUCUACCAUUCUCCCAGCCAGGAACAUCAAUGAUCCUAGAAUCUAGCAUCUCCUACCAUUUUGUAUGAUGAGGGUAUGAAACCCAGGACCUGUCCUUAGUCACAAAUAAGUGAACGGAUGGAUGAUCAACAUUUGAGUCAUGUGUUGUUCUUUUACAUUUUAACCUGAGUAUCUAGGAAAACGUGUUUUCUGUGACACACCUCAGUGGCGAUGGGCAGUAAAGACAUGUGAAAGAGUUGUCACUAGUUUAGCUAGUAAGCCCUUCUCUCCUGUGUCCUAACAAUGUUGUGUGCCUGGCAGGAGUCAGAAGAAUCAGGACACAGGAAGAGACUUACUAAGUCCCUCUCCCCAUCUGGGCAGACAGCAAUAGGUCAGGCAAAUAAGCUAUGACUUCCUUUUGUACUUUUCUCUCCUUAUACCCUGAGGCACUGAAGAGACUGGGGAGAUAUUCAGGCUUCCCUCAAAUCAGGAAUUUAACAAGCCUGGCCCCAAGUGAAAGGAUCAGGUUCAAACUUGGCCUCCGGACCAAAGCUCUCCCCUUGGCCUCAAUCACUUAGAACAUCACUUCAGUGUUACUCAGUGUAUGUUUGCAAGGUAAGCUGAAGAUCAUUAAUAAUAAUAGAUUUUACUUUUGCAUAUAGCCCUUUACAAUUUACAAGGCCUUUGUACAUGUACUAUCCUGUUUCAGCCCCAUGAUAGCCCUUUAUAGUGAGUAGGGUCAGGGUUACUAAACCUAUUUUAUAGAUAAAGAAAUGAGGCUUAAAGAUCAAGGGUGCCCAAGUUCAUGGAGUCAGUUUCAGGACUGAAACCUCGGUGUACUGACAAAAAUUGUAACUGUCUUCCAAGUAUUAUAGCACAGGCCUAGAAGCAUUCACAGAAUUAUUAUUAGUGACAGUUAUCAAUAAUAAUAAAUAGCUACAAUUUAUGAGCAUUUAUUGCUCAUUGUACUAAGUGCUUCAUUUGCAUUCUCACAAAUCUUCAUAGCAGUGUUUUGAGGUUGAUGCUAACUUCUCCAUUCACUAAGAACCUGAGGUUCAGAAAGUUUAGGAAUGUGUCCUGGAUCACACAGCCAGAGUGUCAGAGCAAGGAUCUGAACCCAACUUUGACUUCAGCUUCCUAAGAUCAUACUCUAAAGCUCUUGAAUAUUAUGAGAUCAUCAGAGGAGAUCAUAAUGAGAGCAGGGAGAUCAUUGAGAAACAAUUAUUCAGGAGGGUUCUGGGCGCUGUUUUUGAGAAAGUGGGAUUUGAAGGCCCAGUUCCAGUUAGCCAGGAGACAGCAUGUGGAAUGGCCUGAUGUGAAAAAGUACUGGGGAACUGAGAGUCAACCAGUGUGGCUAGAGUGACCUGAGCAAGGACUGAAUGUCAAGAGAUGAGGCCCAAGACAGUGGGCAAAAAGGUCAAAAAGGGCUGGGAGCCCCUGGUAAAGAUUUGGGAUUUUUUUUUUUCCUCAAGAAAAAUGAGAAGCCUUGUAAGGUUUUCAAUCAGGGAGGGAUGUAAUUCAAUUUAUGUUCAAUAUUACUGGCUGCUAAGAGACAAUGGAAUUGUGGAAAUAAGAUUUGAAACUCUUUUAGAAAUCCAGGUUGGCAUCCAAGAUGACAGGUUGGAUAAGGUCUCAGGUAAACAGCAGUGGAGGACAACUAUGAGUGGAUGAAUUUGAAGUAUGUGCCAGAUACUGUCAAAUACAUUUUCUUGAGUCUCACAACAACCUGGGGAGCCCUCAAGCCCCAAGGGAAGGAAGAAAAGGCAGAUAAGAAGCAAAAUAACACAAGGGGCAAGAAAAAUCCACCACGCUUUAUGGAAGAGCCUGGAAGACACUCCAUUUACGGAAGCAACAAGGAAUGCUCUAGCUAAGGAAAGUGUUAGAAUCACUAAUAAAUGGAGUCUUUGGCCAGAUACGUCUCACAUUGGUUCCACUAGGUACAUGGACCUACCCAGUUAUUUUGCCUAUUCCUGAAUGUACAAUAGGAAUGGGCAUACAUAGAAAUGGAAGAACCCUCGCAUUAGUUUCUUGACCUGUAGAAUGAGAGCUACUAAGUAUUAGUAAGAAACGCCAAAUGGAAGCCUCUGAAAUUGCUCCUUGACAAUGGCCAAAAUAAAUAAAAAACCUGUCACAUUUUAGGGGACUGGCAGAGUUUAGUGCCUCAAAACAUUAAAGAAUGCAAGAAUGGUGGACCCUAUCUUAUUCACAUUUAAUCCAUCAGUCUGCCUCUACAAGAAUUGGUAGGUCAUGGCAGAUGACAAGUAGACUAGCAGAAACUUAAUCAAGUAGUAUCUCCAACUACACCUGCUAUCCUAGAUGUGAUACUUUUCUAGAAGAGAUUAGUGGAGACUUAAGUACAUGGUGUAUAGCCACUGAUUUGGCAAAUGUGUUCUUUUCCACACCCAUUUGAAAAGAUGAUCACAUUGGAUGGGCAACAGUAAGCAUUCAUGAUCUUGCCCCAGCAUCAUGUUAAUUCACAUGUUCUUUGUCCAUAAUAUAAUCUAAAGGGAUCUGAACUUUUUGAACAUCUUGCAGAACAUCAUAUUGGUCCAGUAUGUCAAUACUAUCAUGUUAAUCAGACACCAUAAGAAGUAUGUGGUGAUUAAUCUGGAUGCCUUGGUGAGGCCCUUGCACUCCAGAAUAUGGGGGAGAAACCAUACAAAGGUUUAGAGGCCUGCCACAUUGGUGUAGUUUUUAGGGGUUCAAUGAUAUGGAACUUUUGGGGAUGUUCCCUCCAAAGAAAAGAACAAACCAUUGCACAAAGUACCUCUUGCCACCAAGAAGGAAACACAUUGGGGCGCCUGGGUGGCU